UUUGUUUCAACAACACGAUUAAUUUAUUAUAAGAAAUACUGCGUUGUACUUAUAGUGUGCACCUUAACAAAUCGAUUUAUAAAUAUAUUUCAAUAAUUUCUGAUAAUAAGGUGUCAAUGGUUAAAGAUGAUCGCAUGAUUGACAACAGUUGAGCACACAUGUAAGUGGCGCAAUAAAAUUAGAAAUCAAAAUCGAUAACUGAAAAUCAUGACGCAAAAAAUAUCAUAUCAUCACAACGUACUGUAUAUUAUGGUGCUAAGGUUAAAUGUGAAAUAAAAUUUGUCCCAUUUGUUUAUGUAUCUUAAAAUAUUUGUAAACAUCGAACUACCAGAUUGCUUUUUGUACAAGGCAAUUGGAUUUUUGAAUAUUAAUCGAAAUUUUUGUACAUCGAUGAUCAUCAACAAUCAUUCAUUUUUCUUUUGGCUAAUAAUCGCUAAGCAUGCAUGAAUAACAUUCGAUUUUCACAUGUCUCAGAUUGGAAUAAACCUUCUAUUUUCUAAAUGCGUAAUUCUAUCUAAUCUGCCUCUACCACCUAAUUAGAAUUUAUAUGACGUAUGUUUUUUUUGCAAAAUCCAUAGUGAAAUAAAAAAACACGUUCCAAGUUCAAGGUAAAACGAGUCUGCCAAAACAAUGAUGAGUGUGCAAAUAGUAUAGGAAUAUUUCUAUCAUAAAAACACACAGCUGUUAAUCUAUAAAAAAUGUACAUCAAGUAUGUGUGACUCUUAGAAUAUGGAAAACUUUAUUGUAAUUUAUAUUUCAGAUUGAAUCGAUAAGUAAAAAUUUGUGAAAAAAUCGCGAUUACGACUUUAAACUACUUGCGUAUUAAAUAGAAAAUUCACAUUUCGGGGAAAAAUAUGGUUUUACUUGUCUCUUUCACUACGGAUGAAUUGGUUUGUUUUUCAAUACUUCACGUUCAAACACAUUUGAUUGGCGUGCUUGCGCAAUUCCAAUAAAAUGAUGAGCAUCUAUAUAUUAAUGCGCUAGCCCAAAAAGUUUUCGUACCAUUUUAACCAUUUUAUACCCAACUUAUUUUGAUGCCACUGGUACCAUUUGAAAGGCCUUGAUGAGUAGAUGUGCAGAAUGUCAUUCAGAAUUCACAUAUGUCAAGUUUGACAUGAGUUUGAAGCAUGUUAGUAAACACCCUGCUCCGGGUCCGGAUUCCACGGAGACCCGAGGCACCGACCCGAAGGGCGUUUUUCAAACGAAAAAAGCGAAAAAACCAUCCAUUUCUGAGAUAUGAAUGAGAAAUUGAAAAUGGUUGUGCCCAAGGAAAGUUGGUUUUAAAAUUUUUUAAAUUUGUCAAAUUUUUUAAACAAUUUUUAGAACUAACUUUCUGUGGGCACAACCAUUUCCGAUUUUUUUCAUUCAUAUCUCAGAAAUGGAUGGUUUUUUCGCUUGAAAAACGCUCUUCGGGUCGGCCCCCAGUUCCCAAAUAGUCGAAUUUCGACCACUGGGCGGCCCUAGUAGAUGAAUAAAGUGAAACUUCAUCGACAUUCGCUGGGAAGAAAUGUGUAUCUUAAUUAUUUAUUUUAUUUCUUCGAAGUUCAGAAAAAUGCAUAGAAAUAUAUAGAAAAAUGUAUGAGACGAUGCAGAUGUAUCUCUACUACGUGACAUCUUACUCAAUAGUGACAAAGUCGUGUACGUGCAUAAAUUAUCGCCUAUUUUUGUAUCGAAAGAUUUGUUCAAGCCAAAACUAGAAUCUCGGUAGUUUUUUGAACUAUGGCGUUAGACACCAUUUCGCCAGUUCAAAGUGUUCAAGAUGUGAUCUUCUGAUUAAAAAUCAAAUUUUCCACCAUUUUACCGAAAAAUGAAUUCGAUGUAAUAUAAAUUGAAAUAUUGAACUUUCAAUGGGUGUUGAAUACUAAAAAAACCUAUUUUUUACUUAUUUCCACUGUCAAGUAUUGAAUAUCUUAGUGGAGUUUUCUUACAAAAAAUAUCUCCCAGCUCAUAUAAACAACUUUCAAACUGGAGUAAAUUUGACUAAAUUCGUUUUGAAAAACUGAACUGUAACGUAACGUAUGCAUAUUUGAAUUGAUUAUAUAGAUGAAACUUUAUACCUCGAUCUUGUAGUGAAACAAGAGAAGAAAAUCUAUUCUUAAAGUGGAACAUAUACUUUUAUACGCUACCGAUAAGAGGUAAGUGAUAACAAUUGAUUGCAUUCCAAUCUAUAACUUUGCCCUUGACUUUCAUCACUUAUCUCUUAUCAGUACAGCGUGACAAUCGCCAAAAAGUAUAUGUUUCAGUUUAUAAGAUUUUUUUGUCUUGUUUCACUUAAAGAUCAAAAACAUUCAAAGGUUCAUAUUCAACCCAACUAAUUCAUUUCCUUAUGCAAAAGAUGUCACACAUGGUUGCCAAAAAGUUUUCAUGCAUAAAAUCAUGACAGGAACUGACGGAUAAAAUUGAUUUUCCUUUUGAAUGCAUUCGUCACACUUGUGUCCAUACAUAGCGCAAAAAUGUUAUUCGAUUUCAUAUUGGAAAACUUUUUCAUAUGCCUGCGUUUGAGAGAAGAAUGUUCUUUUAUCAUCUUUUCAAAAAAUGUAAUUUACAGUUGAAAUCUUCAAACUAUUAAUUAGCUCUAGAAAUAUGCACGAUAUAAUAAUCAUUUUGUUUAUAAUGUCAUUGGAACUUCUUCUCAUUUUGUCCAAGAAAAAUGCAUUGAAAAUGGUCCGUUCCAUUUUUUUUUGUUUAUAUAUUCGUAUAUAAAACUGUCGAAGCAAAAACAUUUUGCUUCUCUUUGGGGAUUUCCCUUUCUGUCUCCAAUUCGUAAAACAGCAGUUUUGACGCAGCAACCGUCACGCCAUGUGGUGUUCAAAGGAUGAAACAUUGGCGCCGAACGAUUCGUUUUGCAAAUGUCACUCAGCACAGCGGCUCAUUGGUGUAGGAACAUUGACAAGAAAUUGACGCACAUUUUUUUGAGUGAACAUUCAACAAGAAAAGGCAAUUGUUUUUGCGAAAUAGUUGCUUUAAUUGCGAGACCAAAACCCUUUUACAGAUUAUUUCGCAAUUUUGAGGCGAGAUCCGCAUUGAGACAGGGAGACAGAGAGCAAACGAAGCCUGAUCUAUUCAAAUCGUUUGGAUUCAUACGAAGUGGACUUAUUGUGACCGAGAUCCAUCGCGAUGGCGAGGCGUAAGCGGCACAAUAAGACGUUUGGUAAGCCAAGGGAGAAAAAAGUGCAGAUGAAAAAGCACUCCAUUGUGAAGAAAAAACGUGUCAAUCGGAAAGAAGAUCCAACAAAACAGUCGACAGAAAAUGGCACAAUCGAAAUCGGCGCGAUCAAAUUGGCAUUUAAUUCGAUAAUUAAUCCGAAGUUAACAGAAACAGAAAUAGGAUUUCUGAUCCAUUAGUUCUUCGAGAAAUGUUUGAAUGUUACGAAAGUCAUGCAUCUUGCAUCGAUGUUAAUGCUCUACAGAAUCAACGAAGCAUUUGAUGAUGACAAUUUGAACUUCUUCGUGAAUCAAAAUGGAGCAAAUGUGAUUACAGACUGUUUCAACUGUGUCACAUCGGACAACAUCAAAGAUCCACUCACAGCCCAAAUGCCAGACGCAUUUCUCGCGAUGGUGACACAAGGUAGCCCCAACUUUGAAUGGCCACGCCGCCAUCAAAUGACCCGUCAAGUUUAUGCUCUCAAGGACCAGUAUGUGGCCAAUGUGAAGACAAAUUUGGAGACGCACUGUUGGGUGAGAUUGACCCACUUUCUACGUGUAAAGUGCCAUGAAUUCAAUCACAAAGGAAGCCCCCCAUACUUACCUUUCGAUGACAUUGACAUUCGAAAUACGAUGAAAAAUGAGAAUGAAGAUUGGACAUAUGAUGAUGAUGAAAGUCGAAAGUGGAAGAUGGCAAUACUGUUUAAGGAAGUGUCUCAGCUUUGUGGCCCAUCAUUCGUAAAAUACUUCACAAUGUACGAAUACAUUCAAAAGGACUGGUUCGAGUCUUUGUGGAUGUGGAUAGGCAUGCAACGAAUUGUCGAGAAAUUUUCACCUUCGUCAACAGUGGAAAGCAUACGAUCGUGAUCCAGUGAACAAUCGAGAGCCGUCGGUACCGAAGAUACCAAAAGUGAAGAAUUUCGCCGCAAUUCCAUUCAGUGAUACAAAACUGAAGCACAUACCAUUCGACCAUAAUGAUUUGAUUGAAAUCAUUGGCCAGUUGAGAAAAGAACGGGGAUGGAAUAUCCGUGCUGAUUAUCGUACAUACUACAAGCAAGGCGAGAACAAAGACGAGGCAUGGGGAAUUGUGUUCGAUAUUGACAAAAUCAGACGGCUCAGAACCGGUUCGAAAGUGUUUUACCACAAAAUUCAAACCAACAGUAGUGCCGCGUCGGUGUUGUUUAGCAGACCCAAACGCAAAGGAGCCGGCGUGACUCUGUCUGAAAUCAAGGCAAAGUACGAAAAGCCAGUCAGCAAAGGCGGUUACAAGUAUGAGUCAGGAAUUGAUCCCGGCCAGAAAACAAAAAUGGCCUGCGUGCGUCGGACUCUCGCUACUGGAACUGAAACCAACAUCAAAUUAUCGAGUAUUCAAUAUCACUGGGGUGCGCGACAAGGAAUGCGCGACAAACGGGCCAAAAAAAUGACCAGAAAGUACGUGCACAAAGAACAGCGCGACUUGAAAAGCUAUCCGAUCACAUCCGUAUCGCCGCGAGGAUCACAAUGGAAAUCAUUCAUUAAGCACAGAAUCAAAAUGCUAACAGAUUCAUUGGCUACAUACGCAAGAAGAAAGUACGCACAGCUAUCGUUGCACAAGUACAUCGAGUCUAAUCGCGAAAUGGAUUUGAUGGCUAAACACAUAACAAACAAUAAGACAGGAGUUGUGUUCCUUGGUGAUGCGGCGUUCCCAUCAAAUUCGAAAAUCGGUGUGAAAAGAACAAAACGAACACCGGAUCAGCGAAAGUUCAUAGUUAGCCUAAAAAAAAACGGCAAAACGGAUGUUGUGCUUACACCAGAGCCGUAUACAUCACAAACCUGUGCCAAUUGCUUGCGGCGAUUUCCGAGAAGUACAAAAAGUGACCGAUUCAAAGUGUGCAAAGAUUGUCGCCCACACAAGGAUGUGAGACUCCCACCGGUUAUUGUGACUGAUCGAAGCAGACGGCGCAAGCAACGUGAUCGAAAAGAAAAUGCCAGCCAAAAGCCAACAGCAAAUGUAACUAGAGCCGAAAGAGCUGAGAAGCACCGGGAAAAGCGUCGAAGUGAGCGUGAAAGCCACAAUCCAGAGCAAUUGGAUACCGAACAGGCAGUGAGACGGUACAAUCGACGCAUACGACGGCGUGAACUACGUCAACGACGUCGAGUUGCAGGCCAUUGCAGCCUUAAAGUAACCAAACAGCCGGAAGCGGAAUCCGAUUUGCCAGGUUUUGAUAAAAUUGGUGACACAAGUAUUUGCAAGAUUCGUGUCAAAAAUCGUAAGGCCAAACCACAAUUAUGGCAGCGAAUACAUUACGAUGCAACUGAUAAAGGAAUUGGGGAUUUGGGGUCAAAGAAAAUAUUCUUCCAGAAAAACUGGCACUCAAGCCCAAUGAAUGAUCAGAACGCUUUUACUGUUACUUGGCAUCGUGACAUCUGUGCGGCGAAGUGCAUCUUGUACAGAGGCCGUUGUAUGGUUUUCGACUUGAAUGUGCACGAAUCAUUUGUGUUACCACCAGAAAGGAUAUGGCCAAAAUGUCGAGAUGGCCAAUCGAGAUGGCCAAUCAAAUGCUGUCGAUGAUAAGUAGAGCGUAGAUUAAGAGGAUAAAAUAAAACAUUGACGAUUAGUUAUUUUCAAAGCUUGAUUUUUGUGGCUUUGUACAUAUUAAAAUGUGUGUGCAAAUACACGAUGUAAUACGGGUUAAACCCGUAGUUAAUAGUCUGAUUUGAUGAUUUAAUUUGGUUCAAUUUGUACUUAUAAUUUUUGCUAAGUCUAUCAUAAUGGAGAUGGAUUUUAACUUGGUUACCAACCCUAGAAUUUUUCUAUGCCUUGAGCGGAAACAGUGACGUAUAAUGUAUAGGCAUUAGCCAAGAAUGAGAUACGAAUUGAUUUUUACAUUUUUUUUUUCUUGAAGUCAUUUGUGUUUUCUGUAAACGUUCAUUACUCUAUUAGAUUGUAGACGAAAAACUACGAAAUAAACACUUGAAAAUUUGUUGACUAAACAUUA
Sitodiplosis mosellana (orange wheat blossom midge) is the source of this 6122-nucleotide RNA transcript. RefSeq lists it as uncharacterized. The record is from RefSeq and is a predicted model, not a curated record. Lineage: Eukaryota; Metazoa; Arthropoda; Insecta; Diptera; Cecidomyiidae. The transcript is spliced from 6 exons.